This 405-nucleotide long non-coding RNA is filed under the name Populus trichocarpa (black cottonwood). Its description in RNAcentral is "long non-coding RNA (PTRI_LNC001920)". Lineage: Eukaryota; Viridiplantae; Streptophyta; Magnoliopsida; Malpighiales; Salicaceae. The record is from RNAcentral.
AAAAAAACAUUUAGCAGGCAAAAAGGGAUUGUUUCAUGUUUCAGUGAGGUUGUAAAACCACAUCUCCAAGCAUGUUAGUGAGAGAGGAGAAAACAAAAAUUAUAACCCUCGAAAGAUUGUUGUUCAUGGCAUUUCAGACAAAUACGAUCACAUCUCUCUCUCCCUUACAACGUAAGAAGAUAAGAUGUACUCUCUUUUUUUUCCUUAACUAAUCGAUCAUGUUCAUAUGUUUUCGUAACUUAGGCGCCAUUAACGUUUUGUUGUUCAUGUUCAACUUGUUCUCCACUUCUCCUUAUUGCACAUAUUGGCGCUUCCCCUUUGCUCUUAUGAUCUGAAAGGUUGUAUAUAUCAUGGCUUCAAAAGCAGGUGGAGCAGGGAAAGCUGGAUGAAAAUCCAGAAGAGAGC